UUCCUGUAGAAGGGAUGGUUAGGAUAAUAACCAGCAGAGCUUUCCAUAACCUUCGCUGGUUUACGUAUCAAGUUUCAUAGAAUGUCAGAGAGGAUCACCCACUUGUGUGUCAGCUGGUGCCACUCACGGGGUACGUUCUGGUUCGGUUGGUGCCUCUAGCAAGGCUGGGGAGCCCGCUGCCAUGCGGGUCUCUUGUUCUGUACGGCACUCAAACAGGCCUCAGAGAUGGAGAGUCUGCAUGGCUGGGAAAGGGCCUUCGAUCCUCCUUUAUCUUCUGCUUCCAGGCUGGGAAGGGGCCUUCGAUCCUCCUUUAUCUUCUGCUUCCAGGUACAUAGAAUCACCUGGCUUGUUGUGGGGAGAGAGAGGACCCUUUUUUCCAGCGUCUCUUAGCUCAUUUCUGAGAGGAAGAAUUAGUAUUCGGGUCAGAUUCCAGGACACAUAUCUAUCAGAGGGAGCUGAGGACAAUGGGCACAACACCUCAAAGAGAAGCCUCUACCCCAGCCUCGAGAGAGACCUCAGACCCUCAGCUGCAGCUGAAACAGGGCAAGCCACCUCCUGAGGAAGGAAGCCUUUGUAACACCCGACCCAGGAUGUCAGAGAAUGGGGGAAGACUCCCGAGGAGGGAAGCUGUGGCUGGUUGGUGGUGUCACUCAUAACCCUGAUUCCCAGGGUCACCAAGGCCAACAAGUUGUCAAUGAAGCAGCAGUCUUUCCCAGGCUGUGCAGAGCCCCCGGCCACGUCUCCUCCUGUCCCCACAGGUGUUGGCCUCUCUGCUGGGCCCCAGAGGGGCCGAUGGGAAAGGU
This 803-nucleotide long non-coding RNA is filed under the name Equus asinus (donkey). RNAcentral describes it as "lncRNA (ENSEASG00005033062.1)". The record is from RNAcentral. Lineage: Eukaryota; Metazoa; Chordata; Mammalia; Perissodactyla; Equidae.